AUGGUAAUGUUCUUGCUGGAGACAAAGAAAUCCAAGGUUUUGGUGCAAAAAUUCAAGUGGUGGGUGCUGCCCUGUGUCACAAUCCAGGCUCUAUUUUGCACUGCAGUGAAAUCACUUUUUCUUCCUAAAUAUGGCUCUAAGAUUACCUAUCCCUUAUAAUCACCUAUGAAAAGAUUUCCUGAUGAAGAAUAGUGUAUUGAGCUUGAGCA
Molecule: long non-coding RNA, 209 nt
Filed under: Anas platyrhynchos platyrhynchos (common mallard)
Lineage: Eukaryota; Metazoa; Chordata; Aves; Anseriformes; Anatidae
Description: lncRNA (ENSAPLG00000028299.1)
Source: RNAcentral